RNAcentral lists this long non-coding RNA (1010 nucleotides) under Vulpes vulpes (red fox). RNAcentral's name for it is "lncRNA (ENSVVUG00000020945.1)". The record is from RNAcentral. Lineage: Eukaryota; Metazoa; Chordata; Mammalia; Carnivora; Canidae.
CAUCAUUGCAGAGGGAGGUGGAGGAAUAAACACUAGAAAAGCAAACAGGUUAGCCAUGCUUGUUUGUUCUGUCGUUUAUAGUAAUAGACACAUGGCAGGAGAAAACUGAGACCACAAAAUGUAACAGGUCAGGAAAAUAGUUAUUACUGUUUACUCGUAGCUCUGCUGGCAAUCCUACUAUAAACAUCAUUCUUUAUUUCUUUAGUCUCUCCUUCAUGCAAGUCAUUGGCACUGCUCAGUGGUGUGGGAAUUUCUCCCAUUUUGCCUUGCCCAGAAGGAAUCUAGGUCAACAAACGUUUCAUGAGUUUGACAGUUGUGACCAAAAAAAAAAAAAAAAAUAGAACUUUAAGAAAUUAAAUGUUUUUAAAUAAUAAAACCAUAAGAAUUAGUGAUUCUGAUUCAUUGUUUCUUGUUUUGAAUGUAAAGAAAAUUUAUACUUAUGAUGCUUCAUCUGAUUUCCUUUAUGAUGGAGAAGUAUCACAGAAUAAGAGUUAACAUAAUGGACUUUGAAUUUGGGCAAACUGGGAAUCAAAAUCUUGCUUCACAACUUAGUGGCUGUGUGCCCUUGGAUUAUUUUUGGAGAAAGAACAGACCAAGGCAGUGAAGCAGCAGUGAGGACUUUUGCAUGAGAUGGUCAUCACUCAAACACAGUGCCCAGAUACUGCAAGAGAGGAGUGGAUAUGACCCAAAGAAGUGAUGUGAGUACACAAGACAGAUUUUGGGAUAGGAGAGAGGGAAGUGUCAAGGCCUCUCUGGCAUGGGUAACCAGGUGAAUGGAUGGUGCUAAUCACUGCGGCAGGGAAUUGAGAGAGUAGAGCAGAUUUGGGUGAGAAUAGCCUAAUCCCCAUGCAGGACUACCCCCAGAGAGCUGGGAACAAUCAUGCAAUUGCAUAACCUCCGAACUCUUGAUAAAAAGAUAAAACUUUGUAUUCACUUGUGUCAAAUCCACAUCAUUGCUGAAAGGAAAGUUAGACAAUAAAUAUUUGUUAAAGUACUGUUGUGUGUAUUGC